This is a long non-coding RNA of Falco tinnunculus (common kestrel), 2028 nucleotides long. The record is from Ensembl. NCBI's taxonomy places the organism in Eukaryota, Metazoa, Chordata, Aves, Falconiformes, Falconidae.
CUCCCUUCCAACUAGUUCAGGAGAAGGGUUAGUAUUUUUAGAGCGGAGGGGAAGGACAAAAACAACCCCACCAACAGGCAGGUUGCAUUUGUGUGUCUGGUAAAGGGAUUGCAGAGGCUCCUAAAUAUCCUGCUUAAAAGAUAUACUCUCUUAGCUUCUGCUCUACUUUCUCACUUCAUAAAGACUCUGAACUGCUGGCACGGGUCUCAGUGUGAAAGCGGUCGGCUGGCCCUUGCUCACACCUGCCCUAGGCACUGGCCAGCAGGCUGCACCUUACCUUCUGACCUGUAUCCGAGGUUUCCACUUGGUGCUUUCAAUGCGAAGAAAGAGCUGCUCUGAAUUGCCCGUAUUUGGCCAGGGAUCACCUCAGUGGACAGUUAAUGAAAGAGUAGAGGGAACUUGAAGGUCAGUCGCACUGAAUUCUUUCUUCUUCCUGGAUGUGUCUUUUUUAUUGCAACCUAUCUUUCUUUGUAUAAUUUAUUAAACAAAGUCCUUUUUUUGUUUCCUGCAAAGGCAAAUCUAUCCCUCUUUGUUCAUCUGCCUUCUUUUCUUGAAGCAUUUAUAACACAGCCAAAAAAGUCUCAAAAUAGAUGUUUCCAUUGAAAUUACUAAACAGAAUUACACUUUAGCCAAUUUCUGUUUCUUGUCCGAGUGUGGCUGUGAGGAUAAAACUGCAACAGAUGCUGCAACCAGGUAUGUUUUUGAGAGUGGAAUGCGUACAUUGACCUGUAAAUCUGAUCUCAGUACAAUGAGAAGACUUUAGUUACUAGCUCAAGCUCAGAAUAAAUUAAUUUGAACUUCAGAAAAGCACAAGACUGAGGAAAAUAGCACAAGAAAAUGCAUUUGGGUCUGCUGGAUUGAAACUAACCAGAAGAUAAGCUGAAAUAGCUUUUGUUUAUUGAAAAACUAUAGUAGAUGGGUACUGACUUAGCCAGAAACAGAAUUUUCUUGUGACGAGUGCAGUGUAACAGAUAUGUUGAAAAUAAAAAGGAAAAAAUCAAAACAAAGAGAAAGGCACAGAAUAAAAUUUAUAAUGGCCUUUCCAUUUUCUUCUUUCCUCUUUCUUAUUUAAUAAAGUGAAUGCCUGUUAACACUAUUUUCUCUUUUUCAGGAUCUUUUCUUUCUUUGGAGGACACCAGCCUUACCUUUUGUUUUUCUCAGUCACUUUCUGCCUUGGAGUACCUUGUGUCUUAAUCUUCUCUCUCUAGCUUAUUGCUUCACCCAGUUUGCCUCGGUUUUUUAUCUUUUUCCUAUUGUGUUUUUUUUUUGUCAUUCAUUUUGACUUCCAUUCUGAAAUGCAGUAUCUUCCUACCUCAGAGUUCCCUUCCCCUGUUUAACCUGUGUCACACAAAAAAAUUUUAGGACUCACCAUCAUUUGACACUUCAAGAUGAAGUGUUUUGAAUGACCACUUUGGCUUCAGAGGAAAAGAAAGUGUUGGUAGAUGAAGUAGUGGUUUUUCAGCACGUGAUCUCUUAGCAUCCUUUCAGUCACAAAAAAAAUCACUCCUGCUUUCUCUCAGGUUGAAAUAAAAAUUCUUUGCAAUGCUUGGACAGCUUAAUAUACUAUUAAAUUGAACAUACAAAGUGGGGAGAAACAGGAGAUAGGAGAAGUGGGUAGAGAAGUACACUUUCGGCCUGGUAUACAAGGAAAAAAUUAAAAAAAAAAUAUAUUCAGAGGUGAGUUUGUUUUUCAAAGUACAUUUAGUUUAAACUAUCUGUAAGUAUUACCUGCAUUUUUAUGGUUAUCAUCUAGUCAAGGAUGCCCUUACUGUAAAUACAGUACAAUGAGCUUUUCUAUUUGUAAACUUGGGAUUUCAUGUCACUUUUUAAUAGGCUUCAGAAGCACACGUCCAUUUGACUAGCUGUGAUACAGCAGUGGUCAUUACUAGCUGCAGGACGUGCUACUUAGCAUGCACUAGCUGCGGCUGCCUCAGGUGGUGGGACAUCUUUUGUGAACAGUGUGACUGUGACCACUUGUCUUUUACCAGCACCAGGGGAUUUCAAGCUUCAGCACUUUUGCAGAUUGCA